ACGGCUCAGUAACACGUAGCUAAUCUGCCCUUAGGACGAGAACAACCCCGGGAAACUGGGGCUAACUCUCGAUAGGCGAAGAACUCUGGAAUGAGUCUUCACCUAAACAGUUCGGCGUUAUGCUCGUUGGACCGCCUAAGGAUGAGGCCGCGACCGAUCAGGUUGUUGGUGAGGUAAUGGCUCACCAAGCCUUUUACCGGUGCGGGCCGUGAGAGCGGGAGCCCGGAGAUGGGCACUGAGACAAGGGCCCAGGCCCUACGGGGCGCAGCAGUCGCGAAAACUUUGCAAUACACGAAAGUGUGACAGGGCUAUCCCGAGUGCCAUCCGCUGAGGAAGGCUUUUACCCAGUCUAGAAAGCUGGGGGAAUAAGGAGAGGGCAAGUCUGGUGUCAGCCGCCGCGGUAAUACCAGCUCUCCGAGUGGUGUGGAUGUUUAUUGGGCCUAAAGCAUCCGUAGCUGGCUAAGUUAGUCCCUUGUUAAAUCCACCGAAUUAAUCGUUGGAUCGCGGGGGAUACUGCUUGGCUAGGGGACGAGAGAGGCAGACGGUAUUUUCGGGGUAGGGGUGAAAUCCUAUAAUCCCGGGAAGACCACCAGUGGCGAAGGCUGUCUGCUAGAACGCGCCCGACGGUGAGGGAUGAAAGCUGGGGGAGCGAACCGGAUUAGAUACCCGGGUAGUCCCAGCUGUAAACGAUGCAGACUAUGUGUUUGGACGGCCACGUGCCGUUCUAGUGCCGCAGGAAGCUGUUAAGUCUGCCGCCUGGGGAGUACGAUCGCAAGAUUGAAACUUAAGGAAUUGGCGGGGGAG
This 804-nucleotide ribosomal RNA is filed under the name uncultured archaeon. RNAcentral describes it as "bacterial SSU rRNA". It matches the Rfam family "Archaeal small subunit ribosomal RNA", at positions 85 to 876 of the family's 1478-position model. The record is from RNAcentral.